Long non-coding RNA from Salvia splendens (bonfire salvia), 1158 nucleotides. RefSeq lists it as uncharacterized. The transcript is spliced from 2 exons. NCBI's taxonomy places the organism in Eukaryota, Viridiplantae, Streptophyta, Magnoliopsida, Lamiales, Lamiaceae. The record is from RefSeq and is a predicted model, not a curated record.
GAGAAAAGCCUAAAAAAAAUACUUUCCUUCAUAAUUAAAUUACAAGGCCCAAAAUAAAAACAAAAGCCCAAGACUAAAAAAAAACAAAAGACCCAAAUCUCUUUACUUUCUCUUCCCCACGCCUCUCUCCCCUUUACCCCCAUUUCUCUCUUUUCUUCUCUCCCUCUUCUCUCUACCGACGCCCUCCUCUGUUUUCCUCUUCCAAAAAAUAUUUCCCAUUCAUUCUUCUUCUUCAAAUAUCGUCGCCUCUCUCCAGAACGGAGGUCACCGCCGCUGCCGCUGCAGCUGCUCCACGAAUCCGCCAUCGCGAACCCGCCGCCGUCGGCUUCUCCCAUUCCUCACCCUCCGUCGCCGGCCGCUGCUCGCCGGAAGGACCUACUGUCGCCAACGCGGGGUCAGGCGUCCGUCGUCCGCCUCUGCCCAGAACGCUGCUGCUUGCUGCGGUCGAAGUCGUGACGCCGCCGCUGCUGCUGUCGCCGUUCAGCCACCAGCAGCGCCGAGUCAGCUGUCGCCGCCGUUGUCGUGGCGGUCCAGCUGCCGGAAGAAAACAACCACCACUGCCGGCAGCCUUCUCCUUCCCCCCCGAGUCGCUACCCGGUAGCCCCGAACGUAACCCGAACCACCCCGAAACAUUCCGCAAGAUAAGUUCUAAUUACGAAGCUAUGUUCUUUCAAGUUUUCGAUUAAUCACGGCGGGAGUUCGAUUGGGGUUAAUUGUUGAAUUGUUUGAAUUACUUGUGGGAGGUGAAUGUAUGAAAUAAGUAACGAGACAUAUGCUAAACUUCAUGCUUUAGAGGGGGUAGAGAUUAUACCUCAAUGGAUUGAACUUGGUUGUGGAAGAACAAAGAUGGAAUGAAUGAGGAAGGUGGAAGGAUGGAAGAUGGAAGAGUUAGAAAUGGAGGGUCUCCAUGGUGAAGAACCGGCCGAGAAUGGGAGAAGGAAAGAAAGAGAAGAAGUAUUGGGCUUGCUCCCUCCUUUUGGAAUGAAUUGGGCUCCCAUUUGAUUUACUUGAUUCGGGCUUAUUUAGUUGCAAGCCCAAUUUGUAUAAUUCUUUAUUGGUUAGACUUUUUAAUUGUUGUGGCCCAAAGCCAUUUUAUAUAAACGUUUGGACUUCAAUUUUAAAUGAGAAGCCCAUUUAUAUAUAUACUUUACAUUCUCG